UGUGCCUUCGGGAACCGUGAGACAGGUGCUGCAUGGCUGUCGUCAGCUCGUGUUGUGAAAUGUUGGGUUAAGUCCCGCAACGAGCGCAACCCUUAUCCUUUGUUGCCAGCGGUCCGGCCGGGAACUCAAAGGAGACUGCCAGUGAUAAACUGGAGGAAGGUGGGGAUGACGUCAAGUCAUCAUGGCCCUUACGACCAGGGCUACACACGUGCUACAAUGGCGCAUACAAAGAGAAGCGACCUCGCGAGAGCAAGCGGACCUCAUAAAGUGCGUCGUAGUCCGGAUUGGAGUCUGCAACUCGACUCCAUGAAGUCGGAAUCGCUAGUAAUCGUGGAUCAGAAUGCCACGGUGAAUACGUUCCCGGGCCUUGUACACACCGCCCGUCACACCAUGGGAGUGGGUUGCAAAAGAAGUAGGUAGCUUAACCUUCGGGAGGGCGCUUACCACUUUGUGAUUCAUGACUGGGGUGAAGUCGUAACAAGGUAACCGUAGGGGAACCUGCGGUUGGAUCACCUCCUU
RNAcentral lists this ribosomal RNA (519 nucleotides) under Escherichia coli. RNAcentral describes it as "bacterial SSU rRNA". It matches the Rfam family "Bacterial small subunit ribosomal RNA", at positions 1013 to 1532 of the family's 1533-position model. Lineage: Bacteria; Pseudomonadati; Pseudomonadota; Gammaproteobacteria; Enterobacterales; Enterobacteriaceae. The record is from RNAcentral.